UCCAGGAUAUAUCUUCAAAUAUAGGACUGGGCCCAUUUUCAGUUCUUUCUCUUGCAUUUUAUUUUAGCAUUGCUUUAUCCAUUUGUCUAUCAAGUUCCUUUCUUUCUUUCUUUCCUUCCUUCCUUCCUCCCUCUCCCCUCCCCCCUUCUCCAUCUUUCUGUGUCUGUCUACACUAAGGUUGUUACACCAUAUUGGUCUGACUCACAUUACGUGAGCUACAGGUUCAAGUUUCGGAAGUAUUCACCCACCAUCCCUAACAAGAGAUUUGGUUCUGUUUGCAUUUUAAUGCAAACAUAUCCAACUUGCACUUCCCGAAACCACGUUCAAACCGGAAGGCACCUCUCCUUUGAAAUUCACACCUCUGAAUUUUGCAACAUGGUUCUGCAACAAAAAAAAAAGCGUACCAAAUAAAAAGUGUGCAAAUACAUUAUGAGAGUAUGUGCACAGAAAUGCAUGGAAAUGAAAAUAACAUGCAAAAAAAGAGAAUUUUGUUGGGGGAAAACUGAUUGCAAAAAAGCAUAUACACGGGCAAAUCGCAACAAAUAUAUUGGGGAAAAUGCACAUUAAAAUGCAGGCAAUUUUUUUUUGUGAGGACUCUUGGGAACUGAAGUUAAAAAUGGAAAAACAAAAAGCUGAAUGUGACCCUGACCAGGGGUACUAUCCAGGGCUUUUUUUCCCAGCUGGAACUCACUGAAACUCAGUUCUGGCACCUCUCAGGUGGGCACCAUUGCCAUUAUAAGAGAAGAACGAAGGCGUUCAUGGUGAGUUCCAGCACCUCUUUUUUUUUCUAGAAAAGAGCACUGGUACUAUCACAGGUCCCCAUUUCUUGAUUUAGGCUACUAUGUCCAGUCCAGUUAAGGGCUAGGACCACUGCUGCCCAUUUUAAUCCCAGAGAUUAUUUUGCAGUACCACACAUUUCCUCAUUUUUUCCAAUGCAGAGUGAAGAGGCGUGUAUUUGUGUGUGUGCAUGUACAUCUGCUGAAGUUCUGAAGGUCUCUCAUGACUGGAGCACCCAAGCCGAAAUACCUCUGCUCUUGUUUGUGUUAAAACGCACGUGUCAGUAUGCUCUAGGGUGGUGAAUAUAAUAGUAAUAAUAAUAAUAGUAAAUUUUUAUUUAUACCCUGCCCUUUCCCGGUUCAGGAAACCAGGCUCAGGGCAGCUAACAACAAAUUUAAAACCCUUAAUUGAUGCAACAAAAAACAGCAUAAAAUACAGUAUAAAAUGUGAAUAACAAUAAAUUCAGAAUUCAAAAAUCAACUUAGGGGGGAAAUCCAUCCAAUAAACAUUAGAUGAUCACCAGGGCUAGCUGGCUAAAUUAGUCCUAUUUGGGCCAGCGAGGAGACCAGGGGAGAAUUAGCUGUGGGAUCCCAGAGUGGGUAAUCUUCAUAAAAAGGUGAGAGGGAGGGAAGGAAGGGGAAUAAAAGAUCAGGCUAAGUUCAAGUUGAAAGCCAGGUGGAAUAGCUCUGUCUUACAGGCCCAGCGGAAGGAAGUUAAAUCCUGCAGGGCUCUGGUCUCAUGGGAUAGAGCAUUCCACCAGGUCAGAAAAGGCCCUGGCCCUGGUGGAGGAUAAUCUGACUUCCUUAGGGCCCGGGACCUCUAAACUAUGAUUAUUCAUGGACAUUAAGGUCCUCUGUGGGGCAUACCAGGAGACGCAGUCCCAUAAAUACGAGGGCCCUAAGCCGCAAAGGGUACAGGCAAGGAAGCAACUUUUAAGUUAUAUACGCUUGAAGGAAUCAUGCUGACAGCACAAGUCAGUAUAUAGCCUGAGGUUGUCAUAUUUAGUCAUGGAAUUUUGGGCAACUGCCAGCACUAGAUUCUUUGGAGAAGAAACUUGUAUGGAAUCCGGGGAUUUCUGUUUAUUUUGCUUUCUUUGGGGUAUGUCCCACAUAGGCUUGUGCUGCUGUUUUUAAAAGGACAGAUAGAAAGUCAGGUCACAUCCACACCGUACAUUUAAAGCAUGUGGCUUCCCCUCCCCCCAAAGAACCCUGGGAACAGAAGGCUGUUAAGAGUGCUGGGAACUGUAGCUCUAAGAAGGAACUAGUUUCCAGAAUUCUUGGGGGGAAGUCAUGUGCUUUAAGUGCGCUUUAAAUGUAUUGUGCAGAUGUGGUGUCAGGCAAAGUAAGAUAAGUGUGCAGUGUCAGGUGGGUGUUUUGCUACAUUCUAUUACCACCCACCUUGGAAAAUAAAUGGAAGAGCAGUGUGGUGUAGUGGUUAAGAGCGGUAGAUUCGUAAUCUGGGUAACCGGCUUCGUGUCUCCGCUCCUCCACAUGCAGCUGCUGGGUCACCUUGGACCAGUCACAUUUCUCUGAAGUCUCUCAGCCCCACUCACCUCACAGAGUGUUUGUUGUGGGGGAGGAAGGGAAAGGAGAAUGUUAGCCGCUUUGAGACUCUUUCAGGUAGUGAUAAAGCAGGAUAUCAAAUCCAAACUCUUCUUCUUCUUCUUUCUGCCACCUCCCGAUUUCGUUUUUCGAUGCAUAAUGCUCCCUUAGAAAGGAGGGGAACAAGGACUUCUAAUCCACUGCGACACUGAGACAAUGGUUGGAACGAGCACUGCGGGUUUUAGAGGCAAGAUAAAGACUUCCUCAGAGCCCUUUCUUAAGAAUAUAAACCUCUAAGUCUAAAAAGCAGCAAUUAAUGAAUCAGUUGAAGGACAUGCCGAAAGAUGCCUGGGUGGGGCGGGAGGAGGAGGAAGCAGCUGCCUCUGGUGGUGAGCAAAGAGAGACAAUGUAAUUCUACAGUGAUAAAAAGGAAGAUCCAUAACUUUAAAGCAGAAAAUUAAGAGUGCAAUUGCCACAAACCUAUUCGGGAAAGACGAACCAGCUCUUUCCAUUUUAAAAAGUAGCUUUGAGUUGCCUGGGGCAAGAAGAAGCAACGAAUAAAUUAAAUAAAUAAGAAGAAGAACCAGCUAUGGAAAGUGUCAUUCUUUGCUAUGUGUCACCAAAAGCAUAUUAGCAUAGAAUUUGUAUUGCUAAUUGUGAAUGCAUUUUUUAUUUAUUGCUAUUUUUUAUUUAUUGCUGCUGUAUUGCAGCAUUUAUACCCUACCCUUUAGGCAAUGGCUUACAAAAAUCAAUAAGAACGUAACCUUGCAUAAGAUAGGAAGGAACAUUUCAUUUAGAAAUAGUGACUAUAACUUUCAAGAGAAAUGAAAGGCUUCUCGUUUUGCUUGUGUGCCUGCUUAGCCUAGUGUUCGGGGUGAACAUCUGGUGAGUGACUUCGAGGCCCAUCUGCCCUUUCUCCUUACGGUUCUGAAUUUUUAAAUAGGGAUUUGACAGUCCUUCAAACAGAGAACUAACAACCCUUCAGAUAGAGGCCUGGGCUCUGUAAAGUAGGACACACAGCCACUCCAGCCACUCAUAUGCAUGUAGCAAAUAGACAUUCCACAGUCAGGAACUGGCAUUGGCAACAAAUGAUCUCUGAAAUGCAGCUUAAAACAUCUUAAAAUGCCAGAAUAUUACCUGAUGGCUCUGGGCCCUAGCACACCAUGUAGUGACAGUGCCUAAUGAGAAAGAUUCCUGGCCCAACCACAGCUCUGAUCCAGUUAUCCCUGCUAGCUCCACAAAUAAGUUCAGUAGACAGACUAAUCCAGGGUUUCCCAGACUUGGGUCUCUAGCUGCUUCUGAACUGCAACUCCCAUCAUCCCACUAGUCAGGGAUAAUGGGAACUGUAGUCCGAAAACAACUGGAGACCCAAGUUUGGAAAACCCAUCCUGCAGUACACAAAGGUGACUGGGCCUUGGUACAAUCCUGAUGAACUUUUCAGAAUCACACUGGAGCCUUGAGUCCAACCUACACACAAUGCUCAUCCCAACAUUGACUGGUCCCUCUCUGCCCCCACCAACAUAAAGCAGACAGAGGAUCCUAUCAAUGUCAGGAGAAGCACAGAUUGGCGCAGAAACUCAUGACGUCAUCAGAAGAAUCUUGAAUAAACACUCCUCAAUGAAUUGGGUUUGGGGUGUCUUUGUCACCACAUUGAUGAAGGAAUGCUGAAAUUAUGUAGACCAGGGAGUGGGUUGCUCCCAACGCUAUAUGCAACAGGAAUCCUGUAUGCUAACAUUCUUCUUCUUCUUUUGGAUCAUAAACAAUGACUGUAACUCAACAAAGGAGAAUGACAUAUAAAGCACAGCUUUCCAAAUGCAGUCCACAGAACGUAAGAGUUCCUUAUAGGCAUGUUCUGGAAUCCCAUAAUAACCUGCAGUGGGAUCCCUGCAUGUUUGCAAGCUUGCAGCACAUCUCACGCGACCAAUAGGCUUUUCUGAUAUAUGUCCCCAGUAAGGUCCAGGAGAUUGUGCCAUAGAUCUGAAUGGCCAAGCUUUAGUUAGCUGCACCAAAGCCCAACAUCCCAUUGACAAAUUACAUUGCAGGGUUGCAAAGGGGUCUGUUUUGUCUCCAGCCUGUGCAGAACAUUGUAUGUUGCAUCUUCAACCUAUUAAUAAACAUGUUUUAAAUGUUUGCCACCUCCUUUGUAGAAGAUGACAUUUCCAUCUUACGACACCUAUUUCUGGAUGUUAUUCUUUUGUUUGAAGGGGUAGGGGGUCUUUGGCUGUUUUGCUGCAAAAAGAGGUUUGUCAGUUUGAUUUCUUUUUUUCUGUUUCCUUUGGAUGAGAUUGUAACAGAGCAGUCCAACUUAACUGGGAAGACUGUAUUUUUGUAUAAUGUCAUGAUAAUUUUGAAAAAUGAUAGGAGGAGGAGGAAAAAAAAGAACUUUGUUCAGAAACCGAAACAAAGUCCCGUCUCAAAAAUGUUAGAUAUCUUGUAUACAGCGUGUAUAUAUUUACUAUAUAUAAUGGUAUAUACUAUGUGAAAGACACAGUCAAAUACUGGUUCCUGUGUACUGUUCUUGUAACAUUAGAUCUUUUUAAUAAAUUAUUCUCUUUUUAUU
Non-coding RNA from Podarcis lilfordi (Lilford's wall lizard), 4878 nucleotides. The record is from the annotation of a GenBank genome assembly. NCBI's taxonomy places the organism in Eukaryota, Metazoa, Chordata, Lepidosauria, Squamata, Lacertidae.